Molecule: ribosomal RNA, 253 nt
Filed under: uncultured bacterium
Lineage: Bacteria
Description: partial 16S ribosomal RNA
Rfam family: Bacterial small subunit ribosomal RNA
Source: RNAcentral
UACGUAGGGUGCAAGCGUUAAUCGGAAUUACUGGGCGUAAAGCGUGCGCAGGCGGUUAUGCAAGACAGAUGUGAAAUCCCCGGGCUCAACCUGGGAACUGCAUUUGUGACUGCAUAGCUAGAGUACGGUAGAGGGGGAUGGAAUUCCGCGUGUAGCAGUGAAAUGCGUAGAGAUGUGGAGGAACACCGAUGGCGAAGGCAGCCCCCUGGGCUGAGAUUGACGCUCAGGCACGAAAGCGUGGGGAGCAAACAGG